GGAAAAAAGGAUUGAAUCUCCAUAUUAUAAGGUUCAUCAAAAGGUUUUGGGAUUGGGAAGAAAGUUCAUGGCAUAAGUAGAAAUAGAAUAAUAAGGAGGGGAAAAUGGGCAAAUGGGGAAAGAAGGUUUGAUGAUUGUAAGGAUAAGGACGCCACGUUCGCGAAGAACAUGUCAUUUUCAUUGGUCUGCUUGGCCCAUUCUUCAUUCAUCGUCAGUUUAUUGUUA
This 225-nucleotide unclassified non-coding RNA is filed under the name Hevea brasiliensis (rubber tree). The record is from RNAcentral. Lineage: Eukaryota; Viridiplantae; Streptophyta; Magnoliopsida; Malpighiales; Euphorbiaceae.